AUCCAAACCGAAAUCAGAUAUAUUAAAAGCUAGCAGAAAUAUUUAUGUAUAAUGAAUAUAGAAGGCAGCCUUCUAUACGGAAUUUUUCGGCCGUAACGCUGAGAGGAAAAGAAAAAAACUGCUGUAGAACAAGUUCGGUAAAAUUAAAGCAAUACAAAGUGGUCUCAAUGUAAUAACUUCUGGCGCAGUUCUAAAGUGAUAAAUGAAAGAUUUCAUUUCAUCCACUUUCCUUUCUUUAAAAUUGUGGGGAAAACAAAAAAUUUAAGUGUACAUCCUUUAAAAAAAAUACUCCCGUGAAAAUUCACACAGAAUAUGUGAGCUGUGUCAGCAGAAUGUACCGUAAUAUUACAGUGGUUGCAGUGCAAUAUUACUAUUUUUUAUAUUGUGGCAGAACAUUAGUUACACUUAUUGUACAUUAUGCAAAUAAAUGUAUUUCCGAAGUUCAAAUGAAAACAUUAGUGAAUGAAACAUGAAACUCUAUCAUCACAAUAAAUGUGGAAUUUUCAGAAACAGAUAUCGUGUAAAUGAAUCCAUUAGUGAAAGAAUACAUCUAAUAAGGGUUUACAAAUCGUUCUGUAUCAUGUGUGAAUCAUAGAAAUACUACAGGCAGGAGGGAAUUAUUAAAAAAAUAUUUUCUCUGUGUUUAAAGAGAGAAAAUUUAAAUAUGUUUUGCAUAUUUAAUAAUAAAAUAUAUUUUUUCUUUCUUUUUAUAAUUUUCAUAACUACAAUUGGACGCAUUAAAAUGAAAUCUGUACAGAUAGAUAUCUUACAUGAUUUUUUGCAACAAUUAUUUUUUAAGGCAAAAGUAUUUAAUCACAAUUUUGAGCCCAUGAUCACACUUCAAACAUUAUUAUUUUUGCCAUAAUAAUUGUCAAAAUUUGAUAGAAAUUUUCUGCAUUUGUAACCGUGAGAUGCUAAAAUUUUGUUGUUAUUAGGCGAUAAAAUACUAAUAGUGCUAGUCUAUAUAUGAAAGGUAUAUAAAUUUGAAAAAUAAGUUUACAUGCCUUGUAUCAUACAUAAACAAGAGAUUAUUUUUGUAUUAAUGUGCCAACUGAAUGCUAAAAAAAUUUUGUUGUUUCCUUUGAGUGCAGAAAUAAAAACGAGUACUUUUGUUCUGUUUUAGCUGUGUUUGAAGAAAUUUUUUAAUCCGUUGUAUGCUGAGGAAGCAAUGUUCACACUCAAGCGUCCAACCCUCUGUAAGGAGAGAGAAAAGCACACGAAGAAAAAGACCAAGUUGCCCUUAAAAAGUACUGAGGACCCGGGAGACUUCAAAGAUGCAUACAUGACCUAGAGGACUGCAAACGCGGGAAAAAACGAAGGACUAAACCCCUGGGGCUGGUGACAAAGAAUGCAUCCCGCAGAGCCAUUGUGAAGAUCCACCAUUUAUGAAUGUAAAGUAUGAAAUCUCCCUGCCUGGGGGAAUGGAUGCUGCCUAUUCAUAAUUUCGACUUCCCUUCACAUGUCUGUUAAAAAAAAAAAAAAAAAAAAAACCUCUGUACUAGACUCUAACUUUGUUAGCUAGAAUUUAAACAAUGGACAUGUAGGCCACGUAAUAUGUGCUCUCUAAAAUGUGACCUGUAGUGGCUUAGAAAUAAAUUUCCUGACUGAUUAUAAAUUCUUA
Stegodyphus dumicola is the source of this 1621-nucleotide long non-coding RNA. The record is from RefSeq and is a predicted model, not a curated record. NCBI's taxonomy places the organism in Eukaryota, Metazoa, Arthropoda, Arachnida, Araneae, Eresidae.